UUUCCGUAGGUGAACCUGCGGAAGGAUCAUUAUAAAUGAAAAACGAAUAACUUCAGGGAAGAAGGGAACCUGCACGGUGACCUCCCCUGUCGGGCCACCCAAUACCUUCAAAAUGCCGCCGUCCUAGCGGUGGCAGACGAAAAAAAAACAAGAAAAACAAAAUAGAAACAGGCACGGUGGCCCGUUCACCUUCACACAACCCUCCGAGUACCGCUUCCAUGUUGCUUCCCCCCAAAUCCACCUCUUUGGUGAGCGCGGGGGAGGUCCGCAUCAAAUUCACCUGAAUGUCACAGCAGUCAGACAGCCAUUCAUGGAAACAAUAAAACUUUCAACAACGGAUCUCUUGGUUCCC
RNAcentral lists this unclassified non-coding RNA (352 nucleotides) under plant metagenome. Its description in RNAcentral is "partial contains small subunit ribosomal RNA, internal transcribed spacer 1, and 5.8S ribosomal RNA". The record is from RNAcentral.